Molecule: ribosomal RNA, 1068 nt
Filed under: Triticum aestivum (bread wheat)
Lineage: Eukaryota; Viridiplantae; Streptophyta; Magnoliopsida; Poales; Poaceae
Description: partial small subunit ribosomal RNA
Source: RNAcentral
AUGGACGUGGGGUCCUGCAACCUCGGCGGCAACGCCGACGCGGUGGAGUUCUGCCCGCACCGCCCCUUCCGCCACAUCCUGGCGGCCGCCACGUACACGCUGCAGGAGCAGGCGGGGGAGGAGCAGCAGCAGCAGGACCGCGCGGGCACCGUGUCGCUCUUCUCCGUCGACGCUGGCGCUGAGGACGAGUCCCGACGUCUCCGGCUGCUCCACACGGUGGAGACCGCCGGCGUCUUCGACAUGAAGUGGAGCCCCACGGCGCCGCUGCUCGCGCAGGCCGACGCCCACGGCCGCCUCGUGCUCCGGCGCCUCGAGCAUGAAGACGGCUCGGACGAAGGUGUUGUUCUCACAGACGUGGUUGCUGGAAACAUUUCUUCAUCAAUGUGCUUGUAUGUCGACUGGAACCAAAAUGCCGAUUCCCUGGCCGUUGCAUUAUCAGAUGGUUCACUGUCUGUGGUUCCCAUGAGAGAGGACCGCCUGGAGGUAUCAGAACAAUGGACUGCUCAUCAGUAUGAAGUUUGGACAUGUUAUUUCGAUCGUGCAAGACCACACUUGUUGUACAGUGGAUCGGACGACUGCUCUUUCGGUUGCUGGGAUUUGCGGGAAAGCCUAUCGAAUGCUGUGUUUCGGAAUAAGAAGACUCAUACUAUGGGUGUGUGUUGCAUUGCUCAGAACCCAUUGGAGGGGAAUAUGCUACUCACUGGAAGCUAUGAUGAAUUUCUCAGAGUUUGGGACAUGAGAUCAAUGAUGAAACCUGUGAACGAGAAGUCCCUGAAUUUAGGAGGUGGUGUAUGGAGGUUGAAAUAUCAUCCUAAUAUUGCAGAUGUAGUAUUGGCUGCAUGCAUGCACAACGGUUUUGCCAUUGUUAAAGCAGGGGCUGGAGAUGCUACCAUAAUGGAAACAUAUUGCAAGCAUGAGUCCUUAGCAUAUGGUGCAGAUUGGCAGACUAGUGAAGCAGCGGAACAUAACACAAAUUCUUCAGUUAUUGCUACUUGUUCAUUUUAUGACCGCCUUCUCCGUGUGUGGCAACCAGAGAACCUAGUCAACCACCCAACCUCUAAGGCGUAA